Molecule: ribosomal RNA, 512 nt
Filed under: uncultured bacterium
Lineage: Bacteria
Description: partial 16S ribosomal RNA
Rfam family: Bacterial small subunit ribosomal RNA
Source: RNAcentral
GACGAACGCUGGUGGCGUGCCUAAUACAUGCAAGUCGAGCGGACCAAUAGAAGCUUGCUUCUGUUGGUUAGCGGCGGACGGGUGAGUAACACGUGGGCAACCUGCCUGUAAGACUGGGAUAACUUCGGGAAACCGGAGCUAAUACCGGAUAAUUCAUCCCCUCGCAUGAGGGGAUGCUGAAAGUCGGUUUACGCUGACACUUACAGAUGGGCCCGCGGCGCAUUAGCUAGUUGGUGAGGUAAUGGCUCACCAAGGCGACGAUGCGUAGCCGACCCGAGAGGGUGAUCGGCCACACUGGGACUGAGACACGGCCCAGACUCCUACGGGAGGCAGCAGUGGGGAAUCUUCCACAAUGGACGAAAGUCUGAUGGAGCAACGCCGCGUGAGCGAUGAAGGCCUUCGGGUCGUAAAGCUCUGUUGUUAGGGAAGAACAAGUAUCGGAGUAACUGCCGGUACCUUGACGGUACCUAACCAGAAAGCCACGGCUAACUACGUGCCAGCCGCCGCAGUAA